Molecule: ribosomal RNA, 274 nt
Filed under: uncultured bacterium
Lineage: Bacteria
Description: partial 16S ribosomal RNA
Rfam family: Bacterial small subunit ribosomal RNA
Source: RNAcentral
CUACGGAGGGUGCGAGCGUUAAUCGGAAUUACUGGGCGUAAAGCGUGCGUAGGCGGUUUGUUAAGUCAGAAGUGAAAGCCCUGGGCUCAACCUGGGAACGGCUUUUGAGACUGGCAGACUAGAGUUGAGUAGAGGGGAGUGGAAUUUCCGGUGUAGCGGUGAAAUGCGUAGAAAUCGGAAGGAACACCAGUGGCGAAGGCGACUCCCUGGACUCAAACUGACGCUGAGGUACGAAAGCGUGGGUAGCAAACAGGAUUAGAUACCCGAGUAGUCC